This 421-nucleotide ribosomal RNA is filed under the name uncultured eukaryote. Its description in RNAcentral is "SSU rRNA". It matches the Rfam family "Eukaryotic small subunit ribosomal RNA", at positions 592 to 1018 of the family's 1831-position model. The record is from RNAcentral.
CAAUAGCGUAUAUUAAAGUUGCUGCAGUUAAAAAGCUCGUAGUUGGAUUUCUAGCGAGGCACGAGAAUAUCCACCUAUGGUGAAUACUUCUCUCGCCUUGCUCUUCUUUAGUUGAUGUCUCUGGCAUUAAGUUGUCGGAGUCCUGAGACUAAUCGUUUACUGUGAGAAAAUUAGAGUGUUCAAAGCAGGCUUAUGCCGUUGAAUAUAUUAGCAUGGAAUAAUAAGAUAGGACUUCGGUACUAUUUUGUUGGUUUGCGUACUGAUGUAAUGAUAAAUAGGGACUGGCGUGGGUAUUCAUAUUCAAUUGUCAGAGGUGAAAUUCUUGGAUUUAUGGAAGAUGAACUACUGCGAAAGCAUUUACCAAGGAUGUUUUCAUUAAUCAAGAACGAAAGUUAGGGGAUCGAAGACGAUUAGAUACCGU